This is a long non-coding RNA of Zalophus californianus (California sea lion), 667 nucleotides long. RefSeq lists it as uncharacterized. The record is from RefSeq and is a predicted model, not a curated record. The transcript has 4 exons. Lineage: Eukaryota; Metazoa; Chordata; Mammalia; Carnivora; Otariidae.
UCAGAAUAACUGGGUGACAGCUAGCCAAAGGCAUGGCUAGGUCUGCAAUGAGCAGCUCAUCUGAAAAUUUCCUGCUGUUGUAUGAGAAUAGAACCCUCUCCCAGGUGUAUCUAAGUGAAAUUUUCCCAAGAGGACCUGAUACUCUCACUGGAAAGAAGUUAGAAUAAUGGAAGAAAUGAGGGACACACUUUGGCCUGGAAGUAAAAUCUGCAUUCUUCAGGGAUGCCCUGUGGAUUGGCUUGGUAGGGCUACAUACAAAGCACCAUAACCUGGUUCAAGAUUGGCAGAAAAUAAAGCCAGAGGAAAGCAGGAGCAUAUGGCCUGGGUGUAUUAACAGGCCAACCAUCUACAUUCCAUGCGACCCAGUGCACUGGACAGUCAACAGAGUUUAGAGAAGAAUGGCAGCUGUGUGGGAUGGAAAGAAGGAAAGUUAGGGAGUCAGGAGGCCUGGGUCCUCGUCUGGGAUGUCCUCUACAUGGCACAGAACCACGAUGCCAAUUCAUCAUUCUGGGCCUCAUCACCACCUGCAAAAUGGAAGAAUUGCCUGGGGGUGGCAACGGCUCUGCUGCUUCUGGCUCUUGGGUGUGUCUCUCUCUCUUGAGGUGCCUCUACCUGUCACCUGUACCUGUGGAAUAAGGCCUUACAAAUAAACUCUCAUAAACCGACC